ACUCCAGAGCCGCCCGCCCCCCGCGCAGACACGCGCCCCGGCUGCGCUAGAGUCCGGACCCCGUGUUUGUAGGGGGUAGGGCGGGGUGUGGAUAUCCACAUAUACACUUGUACAUGUAUACACAUACAUGUGCACGUCAGUAUACAUACUUGGAAAGAGUGCGUGUGGCAGUGCACAUACACGUCUGCCUGUUUGUGUACACCUGCAUGCACGCACACAAACACGUGCACACUGUGCACACACAUGGUAUGCACAUGCACCCCAUACACUGCACUGUGUGUAUACACCUACACAUACAUAUGCGUGUGCAUGCAUGUACGUACACACAUGUACAUGCAUGUAUGUGGCUGCAUUGGCUCACAUACAGAGUGAGUGAGGCGAGCACCGGGUGGAUUUGAGCACUCGAUUCCCAGAGCAGUGGGUGCGGGGGACAGAGUUUGGUGGAGUCGCCCUUUACAAUGAGAUCCCUUUUAGCCCAGGGAGGUGAAUCCGGGCGACCCCUUUCACUGGAAGCUCAUGGGCACAUGCAGCCCUUGCUGGUGCUGUUCUUGUUUUUCCUAGCCCAUGCUGCCUGCCCAGCUGGACGUGGCCCAGGUGUAAGAGUUAAGGCUGGUUCAAUACUUAGAUUUCUGCAGUAACCUUAGGAAUGGUGUUGGUUGUCGUAUGCACCACGUAGACUCACUGAAUCAGAGAUGCGUCAGCUUUUGUAAGCAUCUGGCAAAAAUCAACUUUUUUUUCCAGCAACAUCCCAAAUAAAGAGACCUUACAAGAUUGUCUCGGUACAUGAAAUGUCAGUCUCAGCUGGGCUCCUUUGUGAUAUUAGCUCUAUUAGGCAUGUAAACACCUGCAUGUGAUUCACAAGACAAACCUCGAGAUUUCAGGUAGGAAGCCAUAGCUUCAGAAGCCGUUCGUAUCUGCUGUGGUCUAAGCUCUUGGCAAGAGGUAGGGGUGGGAGUCAGUCUACUAUUUUUCAUAAUGAAAAAAUGAGUGAAAUUUUUGAAAUGCAGGUGCCACAAAAUUCAGGCAAGUUACAGAAGGGCGCCUGGAGCUGAAAAAGGCUGAGAAACCAGUGUACUAGGUACAGGAAGCCAUGAUGAUAGCUUUCUCUACAGCAUCUUAAAUAGCAACUGGAUAUAUUUUUCAUGCCUGUUAAUGGGGACUGAUUUCAGAAAUGCUCCAGUGAAGACAUUAAGUAGGACUGGAAUUGUCUCCUUGUUUCUCCAGCACUUGACACUCCUCACUUCCCUCCCCAGCGCUCUGCGCCGUCUUCCCCAGGGCACUAAAGUUCCUGGUUAUGCCUCUGGCUUUGCUUACACAAAAAAUUGAACCAGUUUACCUCUGGUUUACUCAAUCUGGCCAAUUUAAGUAGUGCACACCAAUUCACAGGUGGUUUUCUUGGUGUAGCUUGUGUUGAUAACUUUUUUAAACCAAUUUUAAUUAAAUAGGCACAAUAUCUGGCUCGGUGAGGCCUGAAACAUUAUUUCCCACACCCUUUGCAUAGUCAUGCAUGCACAUAGGAAAAGAAAGGAGAAAGUGCUUGAUGAAGUUACGGAACCACUUUGAUCUCAGUUAAUUUACUACAUAUCUGCUCCCUGACAUAGGAAGUUGCUUGGCUUACCUUUCUAGUAGGAUCUAUUCAUUUAGCAAUAGCAGUUAUAAUUAUGCUUUAAAAAUACUUACAGUAAAAUCUGAUUUCACAUGCUCCUGCAUUUUGGGGGGAGGGGAAAAAUCUUGACUAGAAAGUCUCACUUCUUGAAUGAAACUUUCCGUGCUUCAAAGCUCUCAAAGCUAAACAGAAUUAUUGAAAACUAGGGUUGGAAGGGACCUCAGGAGGUCACCUAGUCUAAUGCCCUGCUUGAAGCAGGACUACCCCCAACUACAUCACCCCACCAAGGCUUUUAAAAUUUCCAAGUGAACAUAAGUAAUAGGUUUAGAUGCCAAAAAUGAGUCCAGUAAGGCAGUUAUUUUAGUACUGUAGUGUAUAUGAAUCAUUGUGUUCCUGUGAACUUGAACGUGUAGGAAGAAUUAUAUUUGUCAAUCUUCUUUUGUUAAAUAGAAACCAAAAGACUUAUCUAGGCAGAAUUGUGGUGGGGGAUAUUUAUUCCAGUUUUUGCUAUAAUUUUAAAUCUUCCAAUUUGAAUGUUGUAUCACUGGGAUUUUUACCUUUAAAUGGGUAAAGUAUUGUCAUGAAAUACUGUAUGAUGCACACCCAAAGAGAAAGUACAAUGUAUUUUAAGGUUGGGAAAUGAUAUUAGAGCAAAUAGAAGCAAAAGUGUCUAGCCAAACCAAUAAUUACCCUUCCAUGAAUACUAGAUUCUGUUUCUCACCUGUCUAAACGCUUUCCUCUGGUGAGAUAGUAUCAUCUUUUUACAUUAAUCUUAGGAUUUAGUAUGGGAUAUUUUAAAAAUUGCUCUUCUGUGUAAAGUUAAGACUAACAGUCCUGAUUUCCUCAAUGCUGGAAAAAGCCCCUCUUCUUCCUGAUUUACAUACUUAGAAACAUGUUUCUAUUUUAACAAUGAUUGAUGGAGGUUGGGUGUUUUGCUUUUGUUUUGGCGAGUCUCUGCUUUUACAUUGGUACGUGGUAUCAUAACUGAUAGGUGAUUUCCCUUGUGGAGUGGGGGGUGGGGUUCCAAAGAGGAAAUCAUCCACUAUGAAUGCUUUGGGCUUGAUUCAGUACUCUGUAAAGUCAAUGAAAAGACUCCCAUUCAUCUCAGUGUCAAUUGGAUUGGAUCCUUAAAAUGGCUUUUCUUGGGGAAACAAGAAAGAUUAAAAAUAGAUUUAAAAAAUAAAAAAAAAGGAGGCUUAAAAAUAGAAUGAAAAGUUUUGAUUUUUAAGCUGCUAGUUCAGGUCUAGUAAAGGCUGGUAGGGAAUAAAAGUCGUAACUGUUUGGGAACCUUUUGGCCUUUUUGAAGAUAGGCUAGUAUGAUUUGUGGUGGAAAAGCAUCAAACCCUACUUUCCAGCUUUUCUUGUGCUGUUUUCAAGGUUGCUUUGAAGACUGUUUGUUGGCUCUGUUAAUAUCUUUGGAAAUGGUGAUUUGUAUCGGACAUGGAACUUUUGUAACUCUUGGAAAGGAUUUCUAAAUGUAUUGUCUACAGAACUAACCGUGGGUAUUUUUAGAGUCCAAAAUGUGAACUGAUUCACUAAUUGAGAAAUUAACUGUUUUUUCUUCUUCUUUCAGCGCUACAACUUGUUGUGAAGCAUUUCCAGCUGCUCCACUUGUGCAUAUUUUCAAACAGGCAGGAUCUUUUGAAGACGACACCUCAUGUUAUAUUAUUAAAAUGGCUAUCCAUACAAGGCUGAGUGUAAAAAUGAAAAUGCUGACAGGUUCAAGCAGGACAGUUUCAGGAAUGUAUGACUUGAGAGAGGCAGCCAGACAGACAAUCCAAAUGCUUCAGUUGGCAGGAUGAAGUGAUAUGCUAAUGUAAGAGAAAAGGUGGGUGUACAAUGGCAAGGAAAUAAAUACCCGUUAAAAA
Molecule: long non-coding RNA, 3474 nt
Organism: Alligator mississippiensis (American alligator)
Lineage: Eukaryota; Metazoa; Chordata; Crocodylia; Alligatoridae
Exons: 2
Source: RefSeq, a predicted model, not a curated record